UACGAAGGGGGCUAGCGUUGCUCGGAAUCACUGGGCGUAAAGGGUGCGUAGGCGGGUCUUUUAAGUCAGGGGUGAAAUCCUGGAGCUCAACUCCAGAACUGCCUUUGAUACUGAAGAUCUUGAGUCCGGGAGAGGUGAGUGGAACUGCGAGUGUAGAGGUGAAAUUCGUAGAUAUUCGGAAGAACACCAGUGGCGAAGGCGACUCACUGGACAUGUAUUGACGCUGAGGUGCGAAAGCGUGGGGAGCAAACAGGG
RNAcentral lists this ribosomal RNA (255 nucleotides) under uncultured bacterium. Its description in RNAcentral is "partial 16S ribosomal RNA". It matches the Rfam family "Bacterial small subunit ribosomal RNA", at positions 524 to 777 of the family's 1533-position model. The record is from RNAcentral.